Molecule: long non-coding RNA, 288 nt
Organism: Anthonomus grandis grandis
Lineage: Eukaryota; Metazoa; Arthropoda; Insecta; Coleoptera; Curculionidae
Exons: 3
Source: RefSeq, a predicted model, not a curated record
AAAUUUUCAACGUAAAUGACGACUCAGUUAUUAUUUUCGACUUACGACAGAUAAUAAAGAAUUUUGUGCUAGUCCUUCUGUUUAUCUUUACUGUUUCUUCGUGCCUAUAAGUAUCAGGACAUUACCGAUGAAUCUUCUCUUGAGCUUGGUAUGGAACCAUGCAUUGUAUUAUGUGGUGGCUCUAACAAUACUAUAAAAAUAUACCUAGAACAAGAACCUGUUACGGAAAAAUGUGACUCAUUUGGAGGAGCAUUGCAUUGCUUAAUUGCUCUUUAUUUUGUCUUGAAU